RNAcentral lists this ribosomal RNA (376 nucleotides) under uncultured organism. RNAcentral's name for it is "partial 16S ribosomal RNA". It matches the Rfam family "Bacterial small subunit ribosomal RNA", at positions 527 to 896 of the family's 1533-position model. The record is from RNAcentral.
GUAGGUGGCAAGCGUUGUCCGGGAAUUAUUGGGGCGUAAAGCGCGCGCAGGCGGUUCUUUAAGUCUGAUGUGAAAGCCCACGGGCUCAACCGUGGAGGGUCAUUGGAAACUGGAGAACUUGAGUACAGAAGAGGAAAGCGGAAUUCCACGUGUAGCGGUGAAAUGCGUAGAGAUGUGGAGGAACACCAGUGGCGAAGGCGGCUUUCUGGUCUGUAACUGACGCUGAGGCGCGAAAGCGUGGGGAGCAAACAGGAUUAGAUACCCUGGUAGUCCACGCCGUAAACGAUGAGUGCUAAGUGUUAGGGGGUUUCCGCCCCUUAGUGCUGCAGCUAACGCAUUAAGCACUCCGCCGUGGGGAGUACGGCCGCAAAGGCUG